This 229-nucleotide unclassified non-coding RNA is filed under the name plant metagenome. Its description in RNAcentral is "partial contains small subunit ribosomal RNA, internal transcribed spacer 1, and 5.8S ribosomal RNA". The record is from RNAcentral.
GCUCCGUAGGUGAACCUGCGGAGGGAUCAUUACAGAGUUCAUGCCCUACCGGGUAGAUCUCCCACCCUAUGUUAUUAUUACUUUGUUGCUUUGGCGGGCCGUUAGGCUCCGGCCCGACUACCGGCCCCGGCUGGUAAGCGCCCGCCAGAGGACCCAAAACCCUGAAUGUUAGUGUCGUCUGAGUACUAUAUAAUAGUUAAAACUUUCAACAACGGAUCUCUUGGUUCUG